GUCUGGUUGGCUCAGUCAGUAGAGCGUGUGACUCUUGAUCUCAGGGUUGUGAGUUCAAGCCCCAUGUUGGGCA
Molecule: transfer RNA, 73 nt
Filed under: Felis catus (domestic cat)
Lineage: Eukaryota; Metazoa; Chordata; Mammalia; Carnivora; Felidae
Rfam family: tRNA
About the family: Transfer RNA (tRNA) molecules are approximately 80 nucleotides in length. Their secondary structure includes four short double-helical elements and three loops (D, anti-codon, and T loops).
Source: Rfam by way of RNAcentral